CCCCUUGUUACAAACCUCACUU
RNAcentral lists this microRNA (22 nucleotides) under Heliconius melpomene (postman butterfly). Its description in RNAcentral is "Hme-Mir-988_3p (mature (guide))". The record is from RNAcentral. Lineage: Eukaryota; Metazoa; Arthropoda; Insecta; Lepidoptera; Nymphalidae.